Molecule: ribosomal RNA, 301 nt
Filed under: uncultured bacterium
Lineage: Bacteria
Description: partial 16S ribosomal RNA
Rfam family: Bacterial small subunit ribosomal RNA
Source: RNAcentral
AGUAGCCGCGGGAAAACGGAGGGUGCAAGCGUUAAUCGGAAUUACUGGGCGUAAAGCGCACGCAGGCGGUUUGUUAAGUCAGAUGUGAAAUCCCCGAGCUUAACUUGGGAACUGCAUUUGAAACUGGCAAGCUAGAGUCUUGUAGAGGGGGGUAGAAUUCCAGGUGUAGCGGUGAAAUGCGUAGAGAUCUGGAGGAAUACCGGUGGCGAAGGCGGCCCCCUGGACAAAGACUGACGCUCAGGUGCGAGAGCGUGGGGAGCAAACAGGAUUAGAUACCCCUGUAGUCCCUGUCUCUUAUACA